This 292-nucleotide ribosomal RNA is filed under the name uncultured bacterium. Its description in RNAcentral is "partial 16S ribosomal RNA". It matches the Rfam family "Bacterial small subunit ribosomal RNA", at positions 505 to 796 of the family's 1533-position model. The record is from RNAcentral.
GUGCCAGCAGCCGCGGUAAUACAGAGGGUGCAAGCGUUAAUCGGAAUUACUGGGCGUAAAGGGUGCGUAGGUGGUUGAUUAAGUUGGAUGUGAAAGCUCCGGGCUUAACCUGGGAACUGCAUUCAAUACUGGUUAGCUAGAGUUGAGUAGAGGGAGGUGGAAUUUCCGGUGUAGCGGUGAAAUGCGUAGAUAUCGGAAGGAACACCAGUGGCGAAGGCGGCCUCCUGGACUCAAACUGACACUGAGGCACGAAAGCGUGGGUAGCAAACAGGAUUAGAAACCCGAGUAGUCC